This 460-nucleotide ribosomal RNA is filed under the name uncultured bacterium. RNAcentral's name for it is "partial 16S ribosomal RNA". It matches the Rfam family "Bacterial small subunit ribosomal RNA", at positions 338 to 795 of the family's 1533-position model. The record is from RNAcentral.
CCUACGGGGGGCUGCAGUGAGGAAUAUUGGUCAAUGGACGAGAGUCUGAACCAGCCAAGUAGCGUGAAGGAUGACUGCCCUAUGGGUUGUAAACUUCUUUUAUAUGGGAAUAAAAUGUUCCACGUGUGGGAUUUUGUAUGUACCAUACGAAUAAGGAUCGGCUAACUCCGUGCCAGCAGCCGCGGUAAUACGGAGGAUCCGAGCGUUAUCCGGAUUUAUUGGGUUUAAAGGGAGCGUAGGUGGUUUGUUAAGUCAGUGGUGAAAGUUUGCGGCUCAACCGUAAAAUUGCAGUUGAAACUGGCAGUCUUGAGUUCAGUAGAGGUGGGCGGAAUGCGUGGUGUAGCGGUGAAAUGCUUAGAGAUCACGAAGAACUCCGAUUGCGAAGGCAGUUCACUGAACUGCAACUGACACUGAGGCUCGAAAGUGUGGGUAGCAAACAGGAUUAGAUACCCCUGUAGUC